RNAcentral lists this ribosomal RNA (460 nucleotides) under uncultured bacterium. RNAcentral's name for it is "SSU rRNA". It matches the Rfam family "Bacterial small subunit ribosomal RNA", at positions 26 to 518 of the family's 1533-position model. The record is from RNAcentral.
AGAAUCAACGCUGGCGGCGUGCCUAACACAUGCAAGUCGAACGAGAAAGUGGAGCAAUCCAUGAGUAAAGUGGCGCACGGGUGAGUAACACGUGACUAACCUACCCUUGAGUGGGGGAUAACCUAGGGAAACCUGGGCUAAUACCGCAUAAUACCUACGGGUCAAAGGAGCAAUUCGCUUAAGGAGGGGGUCGCGGCCGAUUAGUUAGUUGGCGGGGUAAUGGCCCACCAAGACUGUGAUCGGUAUCCGGCCUGAGAGGGCGCACGGACACACUGGAACUGAAACACGGUCCAGACUCCUACGGGAGGCAGCAGUGGGGAAUUUUGCGCAAUGGGGGAAACCCUGACGCAGCAACGCCGCGUGGAGGAUGAAGUCCCUUGGGACGUAAACUCCUUUCGACCGGGACGAUAAUGACGGUACCGGAAGAAGAAGCCCCGGCUAACUUCGUGCCAGCAGCCGC